GAUGAACGCUAGCUACAGGCUUAACACAUGCAAGUCGGGGGGAAACGAUAGAGAAAGCUUGCUUUUUCUAGGCGUCGACCGGCGCACGGGUGAGUAACGCGUAUCCAACCUGCCCAUCACUUGGGGAUAACCUUGCGAAAGUAAGACUAAUACCCAAUGACGUCUCUAGAAGACAUCUGAAAGAGAUUAAAGAUUUAACGGUGAUGGAUGGGGAUGCGUCUGAUUAGCUUGUUGGCGGGGUAACGGCCCACCAAGGCUACGGUCAGUAGGGGUUCUGAGAGAAAGGUCCCCCACAUUGGAACUGAGACACGGUCCAAACUCCUACGGGAGGCAGCAGUGAGGAAUAUUGGUCAAUGGACGAGAGUCUGAACCAGCCAAGUAGCGUGCAGGAUGACGGCCCUAUGGGUUGUAAACUGCUUUUAUAAGGGAAUAAAGUGAGCCUCGUGAGGCUUUUUGCAUGUACCUUAUGAAUAAGGACCGGCUAAUUCCGUGCCAGCCGCCGCAGUAA
RNAcentral lists this ribosomal RNA (508 nucleotides) under uncultured bacterium. Its description in RNAcentral is "partial 16S ribosomal RNA". It matches the Rfam family "Bacterial small subunit ribosomal RNA", at positions 28 to 523 of the family's 1533-position model. The record is from RNAcentral.